RNAcentral lists this unclassified non-coding RNA (762 nucleotides) under uncultured Prochlorococcus sp. RNAcentral describes it as "partial 16S-23S ribosomal RNA intergenic spacer; may also contain 16S ribosomal RNA and 23S ribosomal RNA". The stretch from base 347 to 419 matches the Rfam family "tRNA". Lineage: Bacteria; Bacillati; Cyanobacteriota; Cyanophyceae; Synechococcales; Prochlorococcaceae. The record is from RNAcentral.
AGGACGCCGAAGGUGGGGCUGAUGACUGGGGUGAAGUCGUAACAAGGUAGCCGUACCGGAAGGUGCGGCUGGAUCACCUCCUAACCAGGGAGACAAAAAAACUGAUUGAGAUGUCUUAGUUAAAUAUACUUAGGCCUCAAUCCUGUCACCUUAGGUCGAUCGGUACCUCAGAUUAAUAAUCCAAAGAUUAAGAUCGAUUAAUUUUUGGAAUUGAUUUCAGUUCCUAAACUUUGUCUAGGUCACACCCAACAAGGGUUUCUCCUGGGCCAUUAGCUCAGGUGGUUAGAGCGCACCCCUGAUAAGGGUGAGGUCCCUGGUUCAAGUCCAGGAUGGCCCAUUCGUUGUUGGGGGUAUAGCUCAGUUGGUAGAGCGCCUGCUUUGCAAGCAGGAUGUCAGCGGUUCGAGUCCGCUUACCUCCACUGAUUAACUUCCUGAUAACCCUAAUGGAGCAACUUUUGUUAAUUGUGAUUUAGAUUUGUUUAAUUGAAAUGACCCUAGCUUCCUGUCAUUCCUUUCUAAUUUAUUUGGUAAAGGUUGAUAAGAUGCUGGGCUCUCUGGAAUGAUUUCCAGUGAUUUCAGUAGAACCUUGACAACUGCAUAGGUAAGUCUGAAAAGAAUAAAGCAUCUCAUGGAUGCAUAACUCUUUUUUAAUUUAAAAAUCUAUCUCUAGAUUAUUAAACAAAAAAGAAUUCAUGUUUAAUUCUUGAGUAAUAGCCGAGAUCCAUCAUUUUCUGAUGGAAAUUGAUUAAGGUCAAGCUACAA